UACGUAGGGGGCAAGCGUUGUCCGGAUUUACUGGGCGUAAAGAGCGUGUAGGCGGCCAAGCAGGUCCGUUGUGAAAACUGGAGGCUUAACCUCCAGACGUCGACGGAAACCGCGUGGCUAGAGUCCGGAAGAGGAGAGUGGAAUUCCUGGUGUAGCGGUGAAAUGCGCAGAUAUCAGGAGGAACACCUGUGGCGAAAGCGGCUCACUGGACCACAACUGACGCUGAGGCGCGAAAGCUAGGGGAGCAAACAGG
This 253-nucleotide ribosomal RNA is filed under the name uncultured bacterium. Its description in RNAcentral is "partial 16S ribosomal RNA". It matches the Rfam family "Bacterial small subunit ribosomal RNA", at positions 524 to 776 of the family's 1533-position model. The record is from RNAcentral.